ACUUAUAAGACAAUCUUAAGUAAAUAUUACUAUGACUUUAGUACAGUCGUUAAAAAAAAGAUGACCUUCUAUAACCGAACAGAGAAAGUUUCCGACCGCACGCUUUGCCCUUACUCCAGGGCAAAUAAAAUUUAAAUAUCCUAACGUAGCGUUCUCAGUCGAUUUGUUAAUAAUCGAUUCCAAUCGAUUAUAAUCGACUCCAAUCGAUUAUAAUCGACUAAUUAAUCAUUCGAUUAUAGCAAUUAUCCGAUUAUAUUAUAGCAAAAUUAUUCAAUCGACGCAUAAUCGAUUAUCUUUUUUUCUAAAUAUUAAUCCUUCGAUUGGAAGAAAACAAUCGAUUAAUCGACCGAUUUUCUAAAAUGUUAUUUUUCUUGUAAAAUACGUUUUUUUCUCUAAGAGCCACUAUAUUCUAUAAAAAAAGUAGAAAAAACUACUUUCAAGGUAUCAGCAUAAUAGAGGCUAUUCAUCUCGCGGUUUCGCGAGUCAAUUGUUUCGAUGUCCAUCAAUGUUGUUGGUUGUUUUGGUUGUCUGUAUCGGCUGAAACUGUGUUUUCCCAAUACAAAGUGGAUUUUGCGAAUCAGACAUGGCAAACGGAGUAAAACAGGUAUUGCCAGAUCAACGUUAUUUCCAGAAAAACGCCUUAAAUUUUGGACAUGGCAAACGGAGUAAAACAGGUAUUGCCAGAUCAACGUUAUUUCCAGAAAAACGCCCCCUGGCAACAAAAACAAAGGAAAAAUGAUCAAAAAACUAUUUUGAUAGUAUCUCCACUUCUACUUUAUAAAAUAAAUAAAAAUACAGCACUUCUGAAAGGGAAAUUAAUUUACUUUUCACCAGUGCAUUAUUUAAUAAAUAAAAUUAAGCCGUUGCAGAGAAAAACGUUGUUCCAUUAUACCCCUGGCUCUGUUACGUUUAACCAAAUUUUUUUUGUUUUUCGGCAUUUUUUCAUGUUGGCAUUUCAUCACAUAACUAUUAAAUGAAUCAACGGAAAAAAUCAAAAAAAUUACCAAAUGUAAAUAAAUGCCAAGGAAUCACCCCUA
Molecule: long non-coding RNA, 1037 nt
Organism: Daphnia pulicaria
Lineage: Eukaryota; Metazoa; Arthropoda; Branchiopoda; Diplostraca; Daphniidae
Exons: 3
Source: RefSeq, a predicted model, not a curated record